This 401-nucleotide ribosomal RNA is filed under the name uncultured bacterium. Its description in RNAcentral is "bacterial SSU rRNA". It matches the Rfam family "Bacterial small subunit ribosomal RNA", at positions 356 to 774 of the family's 1533-position model. The record is from RNAcentral.
GGGGAAUCUUGGACAAUGGGGGCAACCCUGAUCCAGCGAUGCCGCGUGAGCGAAGAAGGCCUUAGGGUUGUAAAGCUCUUUCGCCCGCGACGAUGAUGACGGUAGCGGGAGAAGAAGCCCCGGCUAACUCCGUGCCAGCAGCCGCGGUAAUACGGAGGGGGCUAGCGUUGUCCGGAAUUACUGGGCGUAAAGCGCGCGUAGGCGGUCCACCAAGUCGGGGGUGAAAGCCCGGGGCUCAACCCCGGAAUGUCCUCCGAGACUGUUGGACUGGAGUUCGGGAGAGGAGAGCGGAAUUCCCAGUGUAGAGGUGAAAUUCGUAGAUAUCAAGAGGAACACCUGAGGCGAAGGCGGGUUGCUGGGCCGACACUGACGCUGAUGCGCGAAAGCCAGGGGAGCAAACG